AUUGAACGCUGGCGGUAUGCUUAACACAUGCAAGUCGAACGAGUAGCUACUUCGGUAGCGAGAGUGGCGGACGGGUGAGUAACGCGUAGGAAUCUGCCUGUUAGUGGGGGACAACGUGGGGAAACUCACGCUAAUACCGCAUACGCCCUACGGGGAAAGGAGGGGAUCUUCGGACCUUUCGCUAACAGAUGAGCCUGCGUUAGAUUAGCUAGUUGGUGGGGUAAAGGCCUACCAAGGCGACGAUCUAUAGCUGUUCUGAGAGGAAGAUCAGCCACACUGGGACUGAGACACGGCCCAGACUCCUACGGGAGGCAGCAGUGGGGAAUAUUGGACAAUGGGCGCAAGCCUGAUCCAGCAAUACCGCGUGUGUGAAGAAGGCCCUAGGGUUGUAAAGCACUUUCAGCUGGGAAGAUAAUGACGGUACCAGCAAAAGAAGCCCCGGCUAACUCCGUG
This 453-nucleotide ribosomal RNA is filed under the name uncultured bacterium. RNAcentral's name for it is "bacterial SSU rRNA". It matches the Rfam family "Bacterial small subunit ribosomal RNA", at positions 30 to 507 of the family's 1533-position model. The record is from RNAcentral.